UACAGAGGUCUCAAGCGUUGUUCGGAAUCAUUGGGCGUAAAGCGCGUGUAGGCGGCCCGGUAAGUCCGCUGUGAAAGUCGGGGGCUCAACCCUCGAAUGCCGGUGGAUACUGUCGGGCUAGAGUGCGGAAGAGGCGAGUGGAAUUCCUGGUGUAGCGGUGAAAUGCGCAGAUAUCAGGAGGAACACCGGUGGCGAAGGCGGGUCUCUGGGCCGUAACUGACGCUGAGGAGCGAAAGCAUGGGGAGCGAACAGG
Molecule: ribosomal RNA, 253 nt
Filed under: uncultured bacterium
Lineage: Bacteria
Description: partial 16S ribosomal RNA
Rfam family: Bacterial small subunit ribosomal RNA
Source: RNAcentral